GAUGAACGCUCGCGGGAGGCCUAACACAUGCAAGCCGAGCGGUAUUGUUUCUUCGGAAAUGCGAGAGCGGCGUACGGGUGCGUAACACGUGUGCAACCUGCCUUUAUCUGGGGGAUAGCCUUUCGAAAGGAAGAUUAAUACUCCAUAAUAUAUUGAACGGCAUCGUUUAAUAUUGAAAGCUCCGGCGGAUAGAGAUGGGCACGCGCAAGAUUAGCUAGUUGGUGAGGUAACGGCUCACCAAGGCGAUGAUCUUUAGGGGGCCUGAGAGGGUGAUCCCCCACACUGGUACUGAGACACGGACCAGACUCCUACGGGAGGCAGCAGUGAGGAAUAGUGGUCAAUGGGUGCAAGCCUGAACCAGCCAUCCCGCGUGAAGGACGACUGCCCUAUGGGUUGUAAACUUCUUUUGUAUAGGGAGAAACCUACCCUCGAGAGGGUAGCUGAAGGUACUAUACGAAUAAGCACCGGCUAACUCCGUG
RNAcentral lists this ribosomal RNA (479 nucleotides) under uncultured bacterium. Its description in RNAcentral is "partial 16S ribosomal RNA". It matches the Rfam family "Bacterial small subunit ribosomal RNA", at positions 28 to 507 of the family's 1533-position model. The record is from RNAcentral.